CAUAGGAUGGGACAGAAGGAGAUGCUAAACAGUGAUGCAGAAGCAGCGAAGACCUCCGCAAUCCUGCAGGGAAGCUUGGGAGCUGGUACGGCCCUGCAGAGAUGCACUGAGCCUGACUGCUGCUGGAGCCCAGUGUGAGUCCUGGCAGAAGAAAUCUGCAAACCCUAGUCAGAUGUGUUUCAGCUUUGCAGUGGAUGGUAGGGCCACCCUCCCGUUGGGGUCAGGUCAGAGGACAUGACUCUUUAACAUUACUGAAAUUACAAGUUUCUUGAAUACAAGAUGAAGGAAGAGGUCAAAUAUCAAGUAGUAAGUCACACAUUUAAAACAGAAUUUGGCUUCUACAUUUUCUUGGGAAUGGGUAGAGAAAAAAGCUUCCCUUUCUCUGUUUAGGGAAGCCAAGCUGCCAUGUUGUAAGCUGCCCUAUGAAGGGACCCACAUGGCAAAGAAUGGAGAAUGACCCCAGCCAGCCAAGAACUCUCAGCCUACCGGCCCAUGAGGAACUGAAUCCUGCCAACAGCGAUGUGAGUGAACUUGGAAGUGGAUCCUUCUCCAGUGGCACCAUCAGAAGGCCCUCACCAGAUGCAGGCCUCUCAACCUUGGACUUU
This 605-nucleotide long non-coding RNA is filed under the name Homo sapiens (human). Its description in RNAcentral is "HSALNT0172094". The record is from RNAcentral. Lineage: Eukaryota; Metazoa; Chordata; Mammalia; Primates; Hominidae.